This 446-nucleotide ribosomal RNA is filed under the name uncultured organism. RNAcentral describes it as "partial 16S ribosomal RNA". It matches the Rfam family "Bacterial small subunit ribosomal RNA", at positions 334 to 797 of the family's 1533-position model. The record is from RNAcentral.
CACUCCUGCGGGAGGCAGCAGUGGGGAAUAUUGGACAAUGGGCGCAAGCCUGAUCCAGCCAUGCCGCGUGAGUGAUGAAGGCCCUAGGGUUGUAAAGCUCUUUCACCGGUGAAGAUAAUGACGGUAACCGGAGAAGAAGCCCCGGCUAACUUCGUGCCAGCAGCCGCGGUAAUACGAAGGGGGCUAGCGUUGUUCGGAUUUACUGGGCGUAAAGCGCACGUAGGCGGACUAUUAAGUCAGGGGUGAAAUCCCGGGGCUCAACCCCGGAACUGCCUUUGAUACUGGUAGUCUUGAGAUCGAGGGAGGUGAGUGGAAUUCCGAGUGUAGAGGUGAAAUUCGUAGAUAUUCGGAGGAACACCAGUGGCGAAGGCGGCUCACUGGCUCGAUACUGACGCUGAGGUGCGAAAGCGUGGGGAGCAAACAGGAUUAGAAACCCUGGUAGUCCC